Non-coding RNA from Pangasianodon gigas (Mekong giant catfish), 73 nucleotides. NCBI's taxonomy places the organism in Eukaryota, Metazoa, Chordata, Actinopteri, Siluriformes, Pangasiidae. The record is from the annotation of a GenBank genome assembly.
CUAGAUCAAUGUAUCUCUCCACCCUAAUUGAAGACAACAGAAAUAAUCCUAGAUUCUUAUUUAAUACUGUAGC